This 76-nucleotide transfer RNA is filed under the name Xylella taiwanensis. Its description in RNAcentral is "tRNA-Ala". It matches the Rfam family "tRNA". Rfam says of the family: Transfer RNA (tRNA) molecules are approximately 80 nucleotides in length. Their secondary structure includes four short double-helical elements and three loops (D, anti-codon, and T loops). The record is from RNAcentral. Lineage: Bacteria; Pseudomonadati; Pseudomonadota; Gammaproteobacteria; Lysobacterales; Lysobacteraceae.
GGGGCCUUAGCUCAGCUGGUAGAGCACCUGCUUUGCAAGCAGGGUGUCGUCGGUUCGAUCCCGGCAGGCUCCACCA